CAGCGGCAGGGUAAGUUACAGGGAUGCUGGGCGGUCGGCUCAGAUCCCCAGCGGCAGUGCGAUAUGCAGGGAUUUGGGAGCCCAGUCUCCAUUCUCCAGCAGCAGUGUGAUAUGCAGGGAAUUGGGAACCCAGUCUCCAUUCCCCAGCGGCAGUGUGAUAUGCAGGGAAUUGGGAGCCCAGUCUCCAUUCCCCAGCGGCAGUGUGAUCUGUAGGGAAUAGGGAGUCCAGUCUCCAUUCCCCAGUGGCAGAGUGAUUUAUUAGGAAUUGGGAUCCUAGUCUCCAUUCCCCAGCGGCAGAGUGAAUUGCAGGGAAUUGGGAGCCCAGUCUCCAUUCCCCAGCGGCAGAGCAAUGUACAGGGAAUUGGGUGCCCAGUCUCCAUUCUCCAGCG
Molecule: non-coding RNA, 389 nt
Organism: Pelobates cultripes (western spadefoot toad)
Lineage: Eukaryota; Metazoa; Chordata; Amphibia; Anura; Pelobatidae
Source: the annotation of a GenBank genome assembly